RNAcentral lists this non-coding RNA (27 nucleotides) under Mus musculus (house mouse). Lineage: Eukaryota; Metazoa; Chordata; Mammalia; Rodentia; Muridae. The record is from RNAcentral.
UGCCUAGCCUGGGGAGUAUCUCAUGAC